This 251-nucleotide ribosomal RNA is filed under the name uncultured prokaryote. Its description in RNAcentral is "partial 16S rRNA". It matches the Rfam family "Bacterial small subunit ribosomal RNA", at positions 525 to 775 of the family's 1533-position model. The record is from RNAcentral.
ACGUAGGGUGCGAGCGUUAUCCGGAAUUAUUGGGCGUAAAGAGCUAGUAGGCGGUUUGUCGCGUCUGUCGUGAAAGUCCGGGGCUUAACCCCGGAUCUGCGGUGGGUACGGGCAGACUAGAGUGCAGUAGGGGAGACUGGAAUUCCUGGUGUAGCGGUGUAAUGCGCAGAUAUCAGGAGGAACACCGAUGGCGAAGGCAGGUCUCUGGGCUGUAACUGACACUGAGGAUCGAAAGCAUGGGGAACGAACAG